UUAAGAUGGUCCAGUCAAAGAUGUAGUCGAACUCAAACCCUUCACGACUAAACAAGUCACGGAAUAAGCGCUUUAGAAAUCCAUAAUCCGGUCGUUGGUCAAAUGUCAAAGAAUGGCAGUAAUGGAAGUAGGAUGCGAAUUCAACAGGGUGAGUUUUGCAAAGGACCUCAAUAGGAGUUGAAAGCUUCUUCUCGCAUAUCUUAUCAUACUUUUGUU
Molecule: unclassified non-coding RNA, 216 nt
Filed under: Hevea brasiliensis (rubber tree)
Lineage: Eukaryota; Viridiplantae; Streptophyta; Magnoliopsida; Malpighiales; Euphorbiaceae
Source: RNAcentral